Molecule: transfer RNA, 73 nt
Filed under: Micromonospora pallida
Lineage: Bacteria; Bacillati; Actinomycetota; Actinomycetes; Micromonosporales; Micromonosporaceae
Description: tRNA_Arg_CCT
Rfam family: tRNA (bases 4-67)
About the family: Transfer RNA (tRNA) molecules are approximately 80 nucleotides in length. Their secondary structure includes four short double-helical elements and three loops (D, anti-codon, and T loops). Further hydrogen bonds mediate the characteristic L-shaped molecular structure. tRNAs have two regions of fundamental functional importance: the anti-codon, which is responsible for specific mRNA codon recognition, and the 3' end, to which the tRNAs corresponding amino acid is attached (by aminoacyl-tRNA synthetases). tRNAs cope with the degeneracy of the genetic code in two manners: having more than one tRNA (with a specific anti-codon) for a particular amino acid; and 'wobble' base-pairing, i.e. permitting non-standard base-pairing at the 3rd anti-codon position.
Source: RNAcentral
GGUGCCUUAGCAGGCGCUAUACGGUUUCCUAAACCGUGUGUCGCAGGUUCGAAUCCUGCCGGGGGCACCUUCA